UACAGAGGGUGCAAGCGUUGUUCGGAAUUAUUGGGCGUAAAGGGCGCGUAGGCGGUGCGGUAAGUCUGUAGUGAAAUCUCUGGGCUCAACUCAGAGUCUGCUGCAGAAACUGCCGUGCUUGAGUGUGGGAGAGGUGAGUGGAAUUCCCGGUGUAGCGGUGAAGUGCGUAGAUAUCAGGAGGAACACCGGUGGUGUAAACGGCUUUCUGGACCAUAACUGACGCUGAUGCACGAAAGCUAGGGGAGCAAACAGG
This 253-nucleotide ribosomal RNA is filed under the name uncultured bacterium. Its description in RNAcentral is "partial 16S ribosomal RNA". It matches the Rfam family "Bacterial small subunit ribosomal RNA", at positions 524 to 776 of the family's 1533-position model. The record is from RNAcentral.